This 254-nucleotide ribosomal RNA is filed under the name uncultured bacterium. Its description in RNAcentral is "partial 16S ribosomal RNA". It matches the Rfam family "Bacterial small subunit ribosomal RNA", at positions 524 to 776 of the family's 1533-position model. The record is from RNAcentral.
GACGUGGGGUGCAAGCAUUAUCCGGAAUUAUUGGGCGUAAAGAGUUCUGUAGGCGUUCUGUUAAGUUCUCAUUCAAAUCUUCGGGCUCAACCCGGAUUCCGGUGAGAAAACUAACAGAAUUGAGAGUAGUAGGGACAUGGGGAACAAAUGGUGGAGCAGUGAAAUGCGUUGAUAUCAUUUGGAACACCAAAGGCGAAGGCACCAUGUUGGGCUAUUUCUGACGCUGAGAGACGAAAGCGUGGGGAGCAAAACGG